GUGUUUUAGGAAAACGGUACUAUUUAUUCUUCCAUAUAGGCGACAAUACUAACAAUUCCUAAAUUUACCAUUUUUUAUAAUAAAAACCUGGAUAAAACAGUUGUGUGGUGUUAGAACUUUAUCAUUCUAUUUUAAAAAUUAAAGCCAAAUAUAGUAUCAUGACCAAUUUCCAACGGAGCUUGUUUAUGUUAUCCAUGCCCACCGUCAUUUUACACCAAUUUUUGGAAAUUUUGUAAGCCUUUUCGAAUAAUUCUCUAGAAAAUAUUUCAAUAGGUUUUAAAAUUUAUAUUGUAAAUUUACACUCUGCAGUUAUUCAUAAUAAUUAAAAAAAUAUAUUGUACCCUUACAUCCAAUCACAGCGCUCCUAAUUUGACUUCCUUCACCUAGCUUGGGUACAAAAAAGGCCAACCUAAUGCUUGGAAAAUGUAAUACUACCGUUUUCCCUUUAAGUUGUAUAAACAAAGAUUUCUAUAGACGGGUGUGAAACAAAUCGCAAUAGAUCAGUGCAUAUUUCAUCUACAUUUAUGUAUUUUAUAAUUAAGAAUCACAUAGUGCUAUAAUUUUAAUGUGUAUUGUAUAUAUAUAUAUAUAUAUAUAUAUUUGAAAUAAGUUUCCCAAUUAAAGAUCCUUUUUAUAGUCUAAAAAGCAUGAAAUGAUAAGCAAUUGCUUUUGAUAUUUCAUCUUAAACAUUGAUGCUAAUUCAAAUAUUUCAGUCUUGAUACUUACAGAAGUAUAUAAAUACAGCUUGGUUUCGUCUCUGUGGGAUCUGCUUACUGAAAUAGUACUUUAUAGUAGUUGUACUGCUAUGUUUAUUGCCCACCUACGUCCCAUGUUUGUUGUUCUAUCUUGUCAAUUGUUAUGUAAAAAUAUUAUUGUCCGUGUUUAUCUUGUUAUUGCCUAGUAUACGUAAUCGUAUUUAUAACAACCCAUUGAUUAGACGUGAGAAAUAAGAGUUUUACAUUCACUUGUCGGUAGAUAUGUAAAGACGCAAAAAAAAAAACAAGUCAGGAGUAUGAUAGUUGUUGUCCAAUCGUUUGAUGUGUUUGAGCUUUUGAUUUUGCCAAUUAAUAAAGGAC
This 1076-nucleotide long non-coding RNA is filed under the name Mytilus galloprovincialis (Mediterranean mussel). The record is from RNAcentral. Lineage: Eukaryota; Metazoa; Mollusca; Bivalvia; Mytilida; Mytilidae.